Molecule: transfer-messenger RNA, 350 nt
Filed under: Pseudolactococcus insecticola
Lineage: Bacteria; Bacillati; Bacillota; Bacilli; Lactobacillales; Streptococcaceae
Description: Lactococcus insecticola transfer-messenger RNA
Rfam family: transfer-messenger RNA
About the family: Bacterial tmRNA, also known as 10Sa RNA or SsrA, is named for its dual tRNA and mRNA-like properties. Its role is to liberate the mRNA from a stalled ribosome. To accomplish this part of the tmRNA is used as a reading frame that ends in a translation stop signal.
Source: RNAcentral
GGGGUCGUUCUGGAUUCGACAGGUGUUGUCGCGUAUGAGCUGCGAUUGGUGCGGCGCCACCAUAAACCGCCGCAGAUAAAUAUAACUGCUAAAAAUACACAAACUUACGCAGUAGCUGCCUAAACCCCAGCCUGUGUGCCUGAUCUUCGCUCGCCUACGGUGACUUGAUGGCCUAAUCUAGUAGGAUACGCUCAAGCGUUGUUUCGCCGCUUGAUAAGAGAUUUAGAGACUCGCAAGCGGGCUUUGUUCGAGGAUUGUCUCGCCCGUUUGUUAAAUUUAGACAGUUCCUAUGAUUGUAGACGCUGAUAUAGCAAGGCAUUUGGACGUGGGUUCGACUCCCACCGGCUCCA